This 9175-nucleotide long non-coding RNA is filed under the name Medicago truncatula (barrel medic). RNAcentral's name for it is "long non-coding RNA (MTRU_LNC000785)". The record is from RNAcentral. Lineage: Eukaryota; Viridiplantae; Streptophyta; Magnoliopsida; Fabales; Fabaceae.
UCUGUACUUAGGUUCUUUGUUGUUAUGUUUGCGUUCUUUUCAAUUGUUAUAAGUACGUUCCCGUGUAACUUGCAUUCUAUUUGUAUAAACAAACAAUAAGAUAUCAAAGGAACCAAUAAUUAAAUAGAUUAAAAUAAACAAGGAUGGAUGAAUCGUCCAGAAUGAUGUAUUGCUAUAAUUAUAUUGAUGUUCUAAGUUUUAAUUGAGAGAGACGCCUUUAAGAAUAGGAAUAGGAUUAGAUGUAGUCACCCGUAUCUCGGCUGUUCAAUCAAGAUUGGACGGACUAGUUCUUAUACCAGAUUUUAAUAGUCUUCAAAUCUCAAAAGUCGAGCUUUUGGGUUGUGAUUGCAAACAACCUCGGGGCACUCGUUAACAAGACCCUUAAAUUAAUUCAGUUUUGAUUAUUUCCUUUCUGUUCACUAGUUUUUAGUGCAAAGAAAGGAUGUUGAUACGCCUGCAACACUAUCAUUUAAUUUACAUUAUACAUAAGCCAGAAAGCAUAGCAGUACCAUCUAGUUAAUAUAUAUUUUCACAUAUAUUUUCUUAAUUUUUUGUGAAGAAUUUUAUAAAGCCAUAAUGACAUGGUUGUAAAAAAUUCUAUAAGCAGCACAUUUCUCUGUAUUUUAUGUAUUGUUUCUCUAUCAUGAUUUAGUAUGAAGUGGAAAAAAAUUCUAUCAGAAACUCAGCACCUUUCUUGCAUUCUUUUUGUGUUCAAGUUAUAUAAUUCAAUAUCUUCGUAAUCCUUGAAAUGUUCGGUAAUUAAGACCAAGUUUGGACUCGAAUAUCAACUCGUGUAUUAUUCUAUACUCUGGUUAUUAUGCCAUUUUCCAUAUGAUUUACGCCAAUGUUUAUAUGCAUGUUCUAUUCCAUGUCUUAUGGUAAAAGUUUAUGAAUAUUUUCUGUAAUCUUUUCAUAGACAAUAAUAGUCUUCUUUGACUUUGAUGUUAACAAAACUUUUGUGGCCUUAUAAUGGCAGCCGGUAAUUCUGGAGAUAUCAGUUUGAUGGAGCCUCUGUAAACUACGAAGUCUCGAAGAGAUAGGAGCAUGAGAAAAUCAUCUACGGUGCACUUGACUGAAGUUAUGAAACCACAAAUUUGGGAAAAAUUUCCUGAAGAUCUAUUUGAGAAUGUUCUUGCACGACUUCCCAUUGUCACAAUUAUUCGCUUCCGCGCUGUAUGUCAGCAAUGGAAUAACUUGAUAAGCUCACAGAGUUUUUCUCAGUUUUGUGCUCAAGUCUCACAGGAAAAUCCAUGCUUUUAUACAACUUUUGGAGAUUAUGAUUAUGAAGCCAUGUAUGACCCUUAUAUGAAAAGAUGGUAUUAUCCUAAUACACUUGAAUUCUCUGCUUUCCCGGUUUCUUCUGCAGGAGGUCUAGUUUAUUUUCAGUACGAAUGUUUUAAUACAAAUUUGUGUGUUUGUAAUCCAAUGACUAAAUCCUUCAAGAAGUUGCCGAAUGGUUGGAUUAAGCGGUGGUGUCAUUUAGGGAUGACAAUGAAUGGGAGUGCAGACUACAGGGUCCUAAAAUUGGGUUGUAGAAAAUAUGAAAUUUACGAUUCAGUAACAAAAUGCUGGAGUCAUCUAGGAAAGAUACCUGAAUGUAUUAAGGGGCCAGGCUGUAUUAUUUCCACUUCUAUCUCCAUUGACAACACACUUUACUUCAUGCAUAAACAUCAAAACAUUGUUUCCUAUGACACAUCAACUGGGGUUUGGACACAACACUUGAUCCAAGCGCCGUUGCAUUCAUCGGGCUUAACAUUGGCCGUGUCUGAUGGGAAGAUCAUGCUUGUGGGGAUACUCGAAGAGAAUGAUGCUACAUUUGUGUGCAUAUGGGAGGCGCUGAAAAUGACUUUCACAUUGAAGGAGGUUGAUAGAAAGUCGCUCUUAAAAUUUCACCGGAGGCCGGUAGGCUUGACUUGCGUUGGAAACAAAGGUUUGCUCUUGUGUUGCUUGAAAUCAUGCAAUAUGUAUCGUAUGAUUAUUUACAACAUAGCAACUAGGGAAUGGUUGACGGUUCAAUUGCCAUUUAGAAGAAAAGUGUUCAAGCAGCAUCUCGUACGUGCCACUGCAUUCCAACCAUGCCUGACUGCAAUGCCUUGAUUCAACCUAGUUCAAUCUUUUAACAUUUAUUUUUGGAUAGCUAGUUUAGAGUUUUGUAAAAAAAAAUCCAUUUUAUAUAGAGUUUGCUCUUGUGUUGCAUAGCUAGUUUGUUUGGAUACAUCUAUAUAAAAGAGAUUUUUUUAUUUUACAAAACUAGUUCAAUCUUUUAACAUUUAUUUUCUCUCUCCUCUAAAAAAAAUCCAUUUUUUGAGAAGUUACUCUUAACAGCUUCUCAUUUGAAGUUGUUUAAAAAAAAAAAUAAUAAGAUUCCGAUUUUUUUAAAAAGUUGUAACAAACACAUGCAAUAUUCUUAAAAGUGAUUAUUUUGUUUAAAAAAGCUAUAACAAACGGGCUCUUAGAGCAGCUUCUAAAAAAAUAGAUUUUUUUAGAGUAGGGAGAAAAUAUUGUUUAAAUAAUUGAACUAAUUUUUUAACAAAAAAAAAUCCCUUUUAUAUAGUUGUAUACAAACAAACUAGAUUAUUUGUUUUUAAAAAUUGUUUUUUAUUAUGGUAAAUAAACGCAAAAUAGAUAGAUUCUUAUUUUCAUAAAAUCUUUAAAAUAUGGGUCCGUUUGUUGCAGAUUAAAAUAAAAGUGAUUUUGACAUAAAAUAAUUUAGAGAUUAUAUUUUAGAGACUUUAUGAAAAAUCAGAAUCUAUUUUCCGUUUGUUUAUCGUAUUAAAAAUAUAUUUUUUUAAACAAAUAAUCUAGUUUGUUUGGAUACAACUAUAUAAAAGGGAUUUUUGUUACAAAAUUAGUUCAAUCUUUUAAACAAUAUUUUUUUCUACUCUAAAAAAAAUCUAUUUUUUUAGAAGCUGCUCUUAACAGCUUCUCAUUUGAAGCUGUUUUUAGAUUUUUUUUAGAUUCUGAUUUUUUUUUUAAAAAAACUGUAACAAAUUGAUAUAAUAUUCUUAAAAGUGAUUAUUUUCUUAAAAAAAGUAAUUUUUUUUUGUAAAAAAUACUAUAACAAACGGGCUCAUAAACAUGCCCAAAUUAUGGAUCAAAAUAUUGAACUAGUUUUGUACCAAAAAGUCGUUUUUAUAUAGCUGUAUCCAAACUAAAUUAUUUUUAAAAAAAUGUGAUUUUUAUUAGGGAAAACAAACAUAAAAUAGAUUCUGAUUUUUCAUAAAAUCUCUAAGAGUUUAAUGAUGGUGGGUUGAGAGUUGAAAAUAAUAAAUUUGCACCCGCAACCAAUCAAAACAUUUAGAAUUGUCAUAUCAAUUAAAUUAUUACUUAGCUUAUAAUUGAUGUAGCAAUUCUAAAUGUUUUUAUUGAUUUUUUGUGUGCAAUUCUAAGUAUACGGCCUUUUUUCAUAGAGUGGCCAAAAUUAGGAAUGCCUCCAGCCUUAUAACCUCAAUAUCCAAUGGUGGUGAGCUGUUAACUGAUCCUUCUAAAAUCUCUGAGCACAUUGUCAAUCAUUUUAUAGAUAUUUUCAAUCAUACCUCUGAUAUUAUAAACAAUGGAAUGGUGGAAGAAGUGAUUCCUACUCUUAUCACAGAUAGGAUCAAUAACAUUCUCACUUUGCUCCCAUCUGAUGAUGAAUUUCAUCAAGCAGUAUUUUCUCUUAACAAAGAAAGUGCCCCAGGUCCUGAUGGAUUUGGAGCACUUUUUUAUCAAACUUUUUGGGAUAUUAUAAAAAAUGAUGUUUCUAACGCUGUUUUAGAAUUUUUCAAAACUGGUUGGAUUUUGCCAAAUUUUAACUCUAAUAAUAUUUCUUAUUCCAAAGACUAACCAUGCAGGUACAAUUUCUCAUUAUAGACCUAUAGCCAUUCUCAACUUCAAACUCAAGAUUAUCACAAAGAUAUUGGCAAAUAGGCUUUCGAAAUUUAUGCCUGCUUAUCAUUUAAACUCAAAAGAGAGGUUUUACUAAAGGAAGGAGUAUUAAAUAUUGUACUUGCUAAGCCAUAAAUGUCCUUAAUAAGAAGUCUUUUGGUGGUAACUUGGCUAUGAAGAUUGAUAUUGCAAAGGCUUUUGAUACUCUAGACUCGGCCUUUUUGCUUAGAGUUUUAAAAGGCUUUGGUUUUUGUGACACCUUCUGCAACUGGAUCAACUCUAUUCUCCUAUCAGUUAGGAUUUCAGUUUCAAUCAAUGGCAGGAUACAUGGUUUCUUCAGGUGUAGUAGGGGAGUGCGACAGGGGGAUCCUCUGUCCCCUCUUCUUUUUUGCCUUGCAAAGGAAGUUAUUAGUAGAAGCUUGACAGAGAUGGUCAGAGAAGGAAAGUUGAAGCUUAUUCAUGGCACCAGGAAGAUCAAUAUUCCAUCUCAUAUUUUAUAUGCAGAUGACAUGAUGAUUUUUUGCAAAGGAACGAAUUCCAACAUCAAAGCUCUUAAGGAUGUCUACUUGAAGUAUGUAGAAUCUUCUGGUCAAAUGGAAAAUCCUCAGAAAUCUUCAAUUUAUGCAGGCUCAAUCACCAGUCAUAGAUUGUCUCAGGUAUCUCAUCAACUUGGUUUUAGCAUUGGCACUCUACCAUUUCAAUAUCUAGGAGUUCCAAUUUUCAGAGGCAAACCAAAAUAUGUUUAUUUUCAAGCUAUUGCUGAUAAAGUCAAAAGAAAGCUUUCAGCUUGGAAAGCAUCCCUUCUCUCAAUGGCUGGUAGAGUGCAAUUAAUCAAGAGUGUUGUUCAAAGUAUGCUUCUUCACUGUCUUACCAUCUAUUCUGGGCCAGUUAAACUCAUAAAAGAUUUGGAAAAAUGGAUGAGAAACUUUAUUUGGAGUGGAUAUAUUAAUCAGAGAAAGCUUGUAACUGUCUCUUGGUCUAAAGUGUGCAAGCCUAUCAAAGAAGGAGGUCUUGGAGUCAAAAACCUAUCAGAUAUUAAUGAAGAAGGUAAUCUUAAGAACUGUUGGGAUAUUAUGCAGUCAGAUUUACAAUGGGCUCAAUUUAUGAGAAGCAGAGUUCUUAGGGAUAACAAACCUAUUAAUUAUCACGUCUCUUCCUCUAUUUGGAGCAGUGGUAAGCACAAAUUUAGUACCCUAAUGAUAAUGUUGUUUGCAAGAUUGGAAAUGGUGAACCAAUUAGAUUUUGGAUUGACCGCUGGUGUGGUGAACUACUCAUUUUGGCCUUGAACAUUCCAGACCAUCUCCAUAAUCUCUUGCAAUCUAAACUUUCUACUUACAUCAGAGAUUUCAAAUGGAAUAUCCCUCAUGUUUUUCUAUCUGCCUACCCUUAUUUACACCAAAAGCUUAUUCUCACCACUUUGCCUAAUACUUUUAAAGAAGAUAAGCUCAUCUCGAAAACAUCUCAUGAUGAUAACCUCACUUUUAAGGAUGCUUACAUGUUUCAUGCUUCCCCUCAUCCUCAAACCUUGAAUUGGACAAAGUGCAUCUGGAAUACUGCCAUAACUCCAUCUAAAUCAUCUGAGGUGACCAGUUGCUAUUACGACAUUCCUGGAAGGAAGAAUUAGAAAACAUGAGGUUUCAUACUUAAUUUCAUUAAGUAGAAUUAAGAAAUAACCAAUUAGAACAACCAUGAACAUAAGAAGAAUUUCGGGUUGUCAAUCCUACUAAUCUAUACAGACCAAUUUUCAAGAUUAUCGAUACGAAUUUUCAAUUGAAAAAACAUUAAGCACGGAAAAGAACAAAUUAAAUCAGACACAAGAAAAGCGUAAAUGAAUAAAAACUUAAUUAAUGGAAUCCAACAAAUAAGAAGGGGUUUAUCUUUGAACCCUAAUCAAAGAGGUUUAGUUGCACAUGGCAACAUACAUCAUCGCAAAACAAAAGAAAAAUAUAUCUUAGAGAGAACAAGAGGAGGAUGGAGAUCCUCUGCCUUGGACUCUGAUGCUUGACAUUUGCCUUGCACCGUUAGCUUUCUGAAUGAAUAAGAAUGUGUGCAAGUGUCUAUUUUUAUAACAUAUGAUUACUUGCGGUUUAAAAGAAGAAAACCGACAUUUUUCCACCGAUCCAGCUUGGAAAACAAGUAAAGAAUGAUAUUAACUCGCAGAAAAGAAAAGAUGUGCAUCCCUGGGGAGCAUGAUACGUAUGAGGCAAACACUGUCGCUAAAAGCGAUUUUUGAGUACCGUUUCAAAGCGGAUGGUAGUUAAUUAUUGUUAGGGAUAUUUUCAUCAAAUUGAAGUGCUUGUAAGCAGGCACAGAUGGAAGCUAUGUACAAUGGGAUCAGUUGACCCCACUCUUGGUUUUUCUCUCCCAACCAGUAAUGGGAUAAUUGAAUAUCUUGACCCAAAUUUAAAUCUUAUAUAUGUUCCUCACAUAGAGAUAAACCAAUGUCUAAUAUGUAAACAAUUUGAAAAUAGUGUUACUUUGUACUGCAUUUUGAAAAGUAGAUCGGUGUUAUCAUCAUUUGCCUAUUUUCCUAUAUAUGCAUUAAAAAAAUAUUGGCAUUUGGGUUUUUCUGUUUGACAAAGACAUUUGGACUUUUACUUUUAAAAAUAUCAUUGGUCUUUCUUUAAAAAAAAAAAUAUAAAAAAAAAAACACUCGUUGUUUUCACAUCUAUUGUUUUCUAGAAACACAUGAAAAUGACCAAAAAACUCAUCGGUAGUUAAUUACUGUCGGAUUUCUAGUUAUAAGUCAGCGAUAGUUAACUACCGAUGAUGUAGUUUUAAGAAACAAUGAAUGUGAGAUAAGAAAUUAUCAAGAAAAUGCUCCAAAAAAGAUUAAAAAAUUAAUGAGAAAAAAAAAAAGAAUUGAAAUAGGUAUUGGAAGAUGAAUUGCUUAACAAUAGGUUUAUAAAGGUGUGUUGUGAAUUGCUUAAUUGUGUAACAUGAAUUGCUUCUUAAUAGGUUUAGAAAGGUGAGUGGUAAAUUGCUUCCUUGGAGAUCAUGGGACUUAAAAAUUCUAUCAUGGAUGUUUGUUCCUUUUUGCGAACAAUUUUCUAAUUUAGAUGGGGUAAGUUAUCUUUUAAGAAAGUCUGUGAAAACUAGAAAACAAAUUUGUUAUCCAAUAUUAUACUUAAUUUUAAAGCUAACAUUAUUAUUGCAUAUGGCGACUCCAAUUCUUGACAGGAGUUUCUCUGCAAUAAAUUUUGUAAAGAAUCAAAUGCACAGCCAUAUAGAAGAUGAACUUUUAAUGAUUAAUUGAUAACAUGUUGACGGUAACAUAUUCGACACUGUUGAAAAUAAAAUAUAAAAAAACUUACAUCACUUUAAGAAUAUUUUUUUUGAAGGAAUCACUUUUAAAAUAUGAAAACAUGCAAAGAGCAAUUAUAAUUCUUUGAUAUGACGGUGUCUUUAGUACAAUAAUAUAAUUUUUUGCUUAAUGAUAUCAUCAUUUCAUCGGUUUUCAAGUAAUAUAUUAUUGUUUUAAGGUUUAUAACAAAUAACUUUAACUCUUAUUAAAAAUUUUGGAUUUGUCACUGUCUAUCAGGAAUCGCUAGCACCAGGAUGGUAAAAAGGAUGGUACAAAAUUAACCUCUUUUUCUACCAUCGUUCAUAUCAAAUAAAGAAGGUUUUUCUAUAAUGUCCUCAAAAAAAAGAAUAGCAUCAUUUGAUCCAAAAUAAAACAUUAUCAGUGUGCAAUGUGCACGACAAUGACAAUAAAAACACACAUACUACACUAGACAAGAAAGCUUUUUCAAAGCAGCAGCCAAAACUACAGUAGCAACUUCAAUUCAGCAAGUUAGUUUUAUAUAAUAAUAAUAAUAAUAAUAAUAAUAAUAAUAAUAAUAAUGUUUUAUUUUAUUUUAUGCUUUAUUAUUAUUAUUAUUAUGUUUUAUUUUAAAUGAGAAAAAGUUUCUAAGUUGAGCUAUAUAGCUUCAAUAGAUCAGGGCAUGCCUCAAUACUUGUACUUACAAAUCACACCGACUAAAAGUAUGGUUCAGAUUGGCAGAGAGUUGAACCCACGACAUUAUAGAUGAGUCAAUAUCUUAUCAACUAAUAUGUUAGCUAAACUCACAUCAACAAUCUCACAUUAACAAAGACAAAAAAAUUUGAGUACUAUACCAACCUUUGUAAAUGGGAAAGAAAAAAAAAAUUACUGUUUAGAAUUAGAAGCUCUGACGAUUUAUUCACCAUAAUUAAUCUUCACGGAAAUGCCCGUGACUUUUUUCACCAGAGGACAAAAUGAAAGCUUUGAAUUUUAACUCUUUCCCAAAUAAAACCACCCACAAUAGUCUCAAUCUCAAUCAAAUUGCACUUAUGGCGUUUGCCGCAGUAAUGUCUUACAUUAAGCGACCAAGACAAGAUUUAAUGUCUUCACUCUUGAGCAUACCAUAUACUCCAUCUCCAAAUAUUGAGUGUUGCUAUCUUCAUUUUUAUCCUGGCGAGGUUUGAAAAUGGCGGCGUCGAUUGUUUGGUUAGGAAGAGGAGAUGUUGUUGGAGUAUAGGGAGCUAUUAUCUACCUUUUUUUUACAAAGACAAUAUGAGGUGGAAGAUAGGUGAAAAUGACAACUCACAUCUGACAAAGGCUACACCAUCAGAGAUGUUUAUCACCUGUUGGUUAAGGAUGAUCCGGUCGAUAACCUUCAAGAUGUUAUUUGGCACAAAGUGUCACUUUUAAAAGUUUCUAUUAUUGUAUGGCAUUUUCUCCGAAAUAGGUUGCUAACAUAUGAUAAUCUAUUUUGAUGUGAAAUUAUUCAACAAAACUUGAAUGUGUGUGUAAGUGGUUGUGGUUUUGAGGAAGGCAUAAAUAAUUUAUAUUUGGGAUGUAAUCUUUUUGGAAGGAGGAAUACUAACAACACUCACUUUUCAACACUCUCUCCAACAUUUAUUCAUUUAUUGGAUGAAAUUAAUGUAUGUUCCACCACUUAGUGCGGGUUCAAUUUUCAAAGUGUAGACCCACAAUGAUUUAAACCAUUAAGAGAGUGGAUAUUAGAAAGAGUGUUUAAAAGAGAGUGUUGCUAGCAUUACUCAUUCAAUUAAUAAAUCCUUCAAAUUUGUUUGAUCAUAUGUUGUAUUUUGGCAUGCUUGGCGGGUUCUCCAAAAUCAUUUGCUAUUAUUUUUGUACCACUUGGCUCGCCUAUCUAUGGGUUAUAUGGAAGGAAAAAAUUACCGUUGUUUUCAGCAAAAGGUGGAGUCAAUAAAUUAUUGCUUGAUAAUGUUAAAUUGUUGUCUUUUUUUUUUUUUGUGGUUGAAAGUAAAAGAUCCUAGCUUAUCUUUUGAUCUUAAUCAUUGGUGGGUUUGUUCUUUGUUGCAU